Molecule: non-coding RNA, 70 nt
Organism: Podarcis lilfordi (Lilford's wall lizard)
Lineage: Eukaryota; Metazoa; Chordata; Lepidosauria; Squamata; Lacertidae
Source: the annotation of a GenBank genome assembly
GUCAUAGCUCAGUUGGUAGAGCAGGAAACACCUAAUCUUAGGGUUGGGGGUUUGAGCCCCACUUUGGGCA